AUGCUUUUAUAUUGAAAGGACAGGGAGCACUGAAAGUAAUCUACCUCUAGUUAACUCCGUUUUUAUUUUAUUUAUUUAUUUAUUUUUACAGGAAGUCAUUGCAGUCGGAUUAGAGAAUGCUGAUUAAUGGAGCAUUAAAAAUGUCGUAAACAACUACAAAUAACACAAGAUUGUGUGAUUACAGGCCUAACAACACCCCAUAUUGAAAAAAAGGAGGAUUUCCUGUUCUCCUGAGUCUGCCAGCGUGGUGUGAAUACAGCAGUUGUCAGGAAGAUAAAGCAGAAAGGCGUCUCAAGAAUCCCUUUCAAAGAGCCACCAGUGCGCCCGGGGACCGGUGAGCAGCAUCCAGAGACCAGCACUCGUCCCCUGCCCAGAGUCUGAGGAGCAGCGAACUGAAGAGUUGAUGCGUUCAGAAGCCAGUGUAAAUGCUCAUCCGGCGAGCUCCUCGCGCUGCCACGAUGGAAAAUGAAACGGCCUCUCCAGCUGGAAGAACAAGUGCUGUGUGGGCUCCCUGAAGUGGUGCAACACUGGGUCAUUGGAGAGCCACAGCAUGUUUGGGAACAGAACAGUCUGUGUUAUUUCAGCACAGCCUGUUGGAUGAAGGGCCAUUUCACAGGCAUUAUGGAUUAAUCUUUGGCAGGAUCUCUCCAGGAUCAAACAAAACUGGAUGUUUAACCUCAUGUGUCCUAGAGCUGAGAGAUCUCUUGUGAUAAACCCGGAUAGAGAGGAUUGAAUGUGACCCAUAUUGGGUUAAGCAUCACAUACGAAAUAUAUUUAAACUGACUCCUGAAUAAGAAUAUGAAUAUAUAGUUAGUAUUCACAUCCUUCUGCAGGUGAGUGUAAUCUAACCUUGAAACAAUUAUUAAACUAAACAAUCUGCUUUAUUAUCUUUGUCCUAAAUAAAGUCAUUUUGAAUAUACAGUAGUUUUGAUGUCAAACUACCAUUCCACAAUCAGAAAAAACGGAAAUGAUUUUGAACUUUUGAGCAAGCCAUGCAAACGCCUGAUUGUGUUCCUGUUGAGGUAAAAAAAAAAAAAAAAAAAAAGAAAGAAAGAAAACGUCUUUGUUUUGUAUUUUAUUUAUUUCUCCACCUUGCUGUUUUUAUUAGUAACACAGCUUAAACCUUCAAUCUCUUCUCUCACAUAUUAUAAACUAUGUGUUAUAUUUGGUUGAGUGUACAAAUAUCACUAUUUUCUGUUUGACAGGAGCAGUGAUUGACAGGUCUAAAUUUAACAGACAUGGUCUAUUUUCACAUGCUGAAGGAAUUUUAGUAUUGGCCUGGAGAUGAGGAUAUAAUAGAUGCGAUGCAAAACAAUAAAAUGCACACUGUCAACAGAAAUACAUGCAUGUGAUCUGUUUUACUGUGUUAACAGACUGAGGCGUACAAAGUAGAAACACUUACAAAGAUACACUGAAUGCAGAGUGAGUGCUUGAUGCAGAGCGGGUUGAAUCAGAGAUUAGACUUCAGUGGGAUUUUCACAGACUGUAAAUCAGAUUUUUAACCCUGUGUUCUUAAUCCAGACCCAGUGGUCACAGGAGGAUAUGUGCUGACAUUCUGCUUCUGAUUAAAAGUUUAUUGUAACUAAAGCCUUAACCGUCUAACUGCAAUGUUGCACCAGCUCUUGAAAUGCUUUCAGUCCUCAACUGUGUAUGUUUAAAGAAGAUAUUUUAUUGCUUUAUUUAUCCAUUGGGCUUUUAGAAUAAAUGCAGGCAUUGUGUGACACACAAAACAUACAGUUUUGAUUAAUGAUUAUAACUCUUAACAGUGAUUUAUGAUGGUUUAACACAGUGUACAAUAGAAAUGUACUGGGGCAGGGGGCAGACUGUAUGACGUUAUCUCUUCACAUCUCAUAUAUGCUGUUCUGGUUUUUGUGUUGUAAAUGCAUGGUGGGACACAAUCCACUUGAUUUUUUCAUAUUCAUUAUAAUAACCACAAAUAUAACAGCUGCUUUUUAAAAAUGUUUCUUGGAAGUGUUAUAUUCAUAGAAUGACUUUGAUGAGUGUUAGCUCGAUUUCACGAAUAGAAUGGUGGGUAUACUGUGUUACAUAAAGAAACUGUACAUGUGUUUUACAGAACAGUGCAUCUGUGAGCAGGUGAACUGCUUUAAGGAUCACCAACUAACACCAGUGUGAGUAUGUCAGGAACGAGAUGUACCUGCCUCUCUGUUCAGUGAUACUCUUUUCAUUAUGUUUUAAUUAAUUUUAUCCUUAACUUUUUUUCACCAUCAGGACCCAGAACCACAGUCUGUAGUGUUUGAUAUUAAAAAUACAUAUUGGAGUAGUUGGAGGCUAAGAGUUCUGCUCAAGGACAAUAAAGAUGAGAGGGCAUGUCUUAAUCAACUCUCUUUAGCAAUAUUUGAAAUGCAAACUAUCAAACCACACCGUGAAACUAGCUUUGCACUGAUAUGCGUUUUGGAAUAUAAUCAAAAUACCUGCAACUCAGAAUGAAGUCGCCCACUGUGCCAUGAUUUCGUACCUGUUUUCUCAUAUCAACAUGCUCCUGUGAAAUCACGUGACUACAUGAAUUACGCCAUCUGAUUUCACAAACCACGGCUCUAUAUUAAACUGACUGACAGCAGUAAUUCUCACUGUCAAAAUAAAAUCAAUCAUCUUCAGUUACCGUAAUUUUCCAUGUUGCAAUCUGAUGACGCAGGGUGGACUCAUGUGCUCACAUAUUGUGUAUAGACGCUGUGUUGGUAUAAUUCCCGUAUAUCCUAUCUAGGGAAUGCUGCAUUGACUGUUUUGAAUUAGAGUUUGGCUUUCAGUAACCUAUUCCACCCACAUACUGUAAAUAACGGCAAAUGAAAUAGCCUGUAGGCAGAUGACAAGCGAGGAUUUUACCUUUGUUUGCCCAUGACAUUGUUAGAUGUGGAAUUAAGGGACAGUGUGAAGGUGGCACGUUACCUGAUCUCCACUUUUUAUAAUGCUUAGAUUAAGGGCCCAAAUACUGACUAAAGGACUUGUAAUGCAUAUUUAAAUUUCCUACGUGGCCUCUCCGCUAACUUACUUUUUAUUUAGCCAAAUAGAAAGUCAUCUGAAAAUUAACAGCUAAAACUGUGUGAUCUGAGAAUAAAGGGGAGAUCACACUGUUCACUUGAAGGACCAUGGCUAUGCCUACAGAUCACUAAUAAUUUUAAUGACUGAAUCUGCUUUCUGAUGGAGUCAGGAAAUAUAAUUAAUCUAAUUCUACAAUAUUUUGAAGAAGUAAUCCUUUUAGCAAUGCAUGUAUUGUUUGAUCAAUUAAGUCUAUAAUACAACUGCCUGAUUGAACUGACUGAUUUCCUCCAACUCAGAUUAUGAAAACAAUAGUAAUGAGUCCCUGUCCUAAUAUGUGAGAUUUGAUUGAAUUCACAGACCCAGCUUUGUCUGUUUUGGUGAUCAGCAGCUCUCCAGGGAUCACUGUCUCCCAUGUAUCACUUAAUUCAGUGCUUUGAGCACAAGCAAGGUGCUCCAACCUGCUGAGUGACUAUAGCUCUAUUACAUGUCAAUAACAGUUUUGUUAUGCAAGCUCAUAGCUAGCGAACUGCAGGCUGAACUUAAAUAUGUAGGCUGCAAUAACAGUAAGAAUACAUCCGAUGUCUAUUGAU
This is a long non-coding RNA of Acanthopagrus latus (yellowfin seabream), 3587 nucleotides long. RefSeq lists it as uncharacterized. The record is from RefSeq and is a predicted model, not a curated record. NCBI's taxonomy places the organism in Eukaryota, Metazoa, Chordata, Actinopteri, Spariformes, Sparidae. The transcript is spliced from 4 exons.